This 160-nucleotide ribosomal RNA is filed under the name uncultured bacterium. RNAcentral describes it as "partial 16S ribosomal RNA". It matches the Rfam family "Bacterial small subunit ribosomal RNA", at positions 355 to 507 of the family's 1533-position model. The record is from RNAcentral.
UGGGGAAUUUUGGACAAUGGGCGCAAGCCUGAUCCAGCCAUGCCGCGUGAGUGAAGAAGGCCUUCGGGUUGUAAAGCUCUUUCAGACGGAAAGAAAUCGUGCAGGCUAAUACCCUGCAUGGAUGACGGUACCGUCAGAAGAAGCACCGGCUAACUACGUG